RNAcentral lists this small RNA (566 nucleotides) under Pongo abelii (Sumatran orangutan). RNAcentral describes it as "retained intron". The record is from RNAcentral. Lineage: Eukaryota; Metazoa; Chordata; Mammalia; Primates; Hominidae.
AAGAUCAGGAACCCCAGGACACGCAGGGCCACACCUGGGUCUGUGUGGGUUCCAAAGCCCCUGUGGGUUGUGUUGGGGAACAGCAGCUCCUGGGCUUUCCCCGCUAACUGCUACCGUUGCUUGUGUUACAGAGCGUUCCUUCACCUCGGGCAGAAUAACUUUGCAGAAGCCCACAGGUUCUUCACAGAGAUCUUAAGGAUGGAUCCAACAAACGCAGUGGCCAACAACAACGCUGCCGUGUGUCUGCUCUACCUGGGCAAGCUCAAGGACUCCCUGCGGCAGCUGGAGGCCAUGGUCCAGCAGGACCCCAGGCACUACCUGCACGAGAGCGUGCUCUUCAACCUGACCACUAUGUACGAGCUGGAGUCCUCGCGGAGCAUGCAGAAGAAACAGGCCCUGCUGGAGGCUGUUGCCAGCAAGGAAGGGGACAGCUUUAACACGCAGUGCCUCAAGCUGGCCUAGCUGCCUCCAACACACUACGUCAGAAGGACCCGGGUCUUUGAAACUAUGUCAUGAAGCUAAUGUAUUAAUGUGACACAGAGGAACUCAAUAAAACUCCUGCUUCA